GCCAGCAGCCAUAUCAUCCUGCAACUCACAACUGGCAACCCAUUGAAGCUAAGCAGGUGUAAGCCUGGUCAGUACCUGGAUGGGAGACCAACUAAGGUUGCUGCUGGAA
Molecule: ribosomal RNA, 109 nt
Filed under: Lepisosteus oculatus (spotted gar)
Lineage: Eukaryota; Metazoa; Chordata; Actinopteri; Semionotiformes; Lepisosteidae
Source: RNAcentral